GCUGGCUCCUGCCAGCCGGGAUCCCGGCUGCUGGACCCGUUCAGCUGCUGAUGGUCUGGGGUCCCGGCCCUGCCCACAUACAGUGGGUACCUACCUUCUACCUGGUUCUGGCCCAUUCUCUUCCUCUCUCUGCAAUGAGCUAAGGGUGGGAGUGGCACAGAGUACAGGGCUGGGGAUGAAGGGUCUGGCCAGGAGCUAGAAGGAGGGAGGGGGCUCAGGGUUGGGACAGGAGGUUUGGGUGUGGGGCAUUUAUCUGGGUAGUUCCCAUUUGGUGGGAGGGAUGCACGUGGGAA
Long non-coding RNA from Gopherus evgoodei (Goodes thornscrub tortoise), 293 nucleotides. RefSeq lists it as uncharacterized. The record is from RefSeq and is a predicted model, not a curated record. The transcript is spliced from 4 exons. NCBI's taxonomy places the organism in Eukaryota, Metazoa, Chordata, Testudines, Testudinidae.